GAGUUUGAACCUGGCUCAGGAUGAACGCUGGCGGCGUGCUUAACACAUGCAAGUCGAACGGGGUGCCCUUGAAGGAGUUUUCGGACAACAGAUAGGGUUACUUAGUGGCGGACGGGUGAGUAACGCGUGAGGAACCUGCCUUGGAGUGGGGAAUAACAGCUGGAAACAGCUGCUAAUACCGCAUGAUGCAGUUGGGCCGCAUGGCUCUGACUGCCAAAGAUUUAUCGCUCUGAGAUGGACUCGCGUCUGAUUAGCUAGUUGGCGGGGUAACGGCCCACCAAGGCGACGAUCAGUAGCCGGACCGAGAGGCUGGCCGGCCACAUUGGGACUGAGACACGGCCCAGACUCCUACGGGAGGCAGCAGUGGGGAAUAUUGGGCAAUGGGCGCAAGCCUGACCCAGCAACGCCGCGUGAAGGAAGAAGGCUUUCGGGUUGUAAACUUCUUUUGUCAGGGACGAAGCAAGUGACGGUACCUGACGAAUAAGCCACGGCUAACUACGUGCCAGCAGCCGCGGUAAUACGUAGGUGGCAAGCGUUAUCCGGAUUUACUGGGUGUAAAGGGCGUGUAGGCGGGACUGCAAGUCAGAUGUGAAAACCACGGGCUCAACCUGUGGCCUGCAUUUGAAACUGUAGUUCUUGAGUACUGGAGAGGCAGACGGAAUUCCUAGUGUAGCGGUGAAAUGCGUAGAUAUUAGGAGGAACACCAGUGGCGAAGGCGGUCUGCCGGACAGCAA
Molecule: ribosomal RNA, 734 nt
Filed under: uncultured bacterium
Lineage: Bacteria
Description: bacterial SSU rRNA
Rfam family: Bacterial small subunit ribosomal RNA
Source: RNAcentral